RNAcentral lists this ribosomal RNA (888 nucleotides) under Stutzerimonas stutzeri. RNAcentral describes it as "bacterial SSU rRNA". It matches the Rfam family "Bacterial small subunit ribosomal RNA", at positions 48 to 873 of the family's 1533-position model. The record is from RNAcentral. Lineage: Bacteria; Pseudomonadati; Pseudomonadota; Gammaproteobacteria; Pseudomonadales; Pseudomonadaceae.
GUUACUCUGCAAGUCGAGCGGAUGAGUGGAGCUUGCUCCUGAUUCACGGCGGACGGGUGAGUAAUGCCUAUGAAUCUGCCUGGUAGUGGGGGACAACGUUUCGAAAGGAACGCUAAUACCGCAUACGUCCUACGGGAGAAAGUGGGGGAUCUUCGGACCUCACGCUAUCAGAUGAGCCUAGGUCGGAUUAGCUAGUUGGUGAGGUAAAGGCUCACCAAGGCGACGAUCCGUAACUGGUCUGAGAGGAUGAUCAGUCACACUGGAACUGAAACACGGUCCAGACUCCUACGGGAGGCAGCAGUGGGGAAUAUUGGACAAUGGGCGAAAGCCUGAUCCAGCCAUGCCGCGUGUGUGAAGAAGGUCUUCGGAUUGUAAAGCACUUUAAGUUGGGAGGAAGGGCAGUAAGUUAAUACCUUGCUGUUUUGACGUUACCAACACAAUAAGCACCGGCUAACUUCGUGCCAGCAGCCGCGGUAAUACAAAGGGUGCAAGCGUUAAUCGGAAUUACUGGGCGUAGAGCGCGCGUAAGUGGUUCGUUAAGUUGGAUGUGAAAGCCCCGGGCUCAACCUGGGAACUGCAUCCGAAACUGGCGAGCUAGAGUAUGGCAUACGGUGGUGGAAUUUCCUGUGUAAGGGUGAAAUGCGUAAAUAUAGGAAGGAACACCAUUGGCGAAGGCGACCACCUGAACUAAUACUGACACUGACGUGCGAAAGCGUGGGGAGCAAACAGGAUUAGAUACACCUGGCUAGUCGACGCCAUAGACGAUGUCGACUAGGCGUUGGGAUCGUUAAAAUCUUACGGGCGCACCUAACGCAUUUAGAUCGAUUAGCGGCGCAGAGUACGCAUUGCGUCGACCGCCUACUGAAAAUGAAAGUAAGGAUAAGGGUG